UUUUGGGCUGUCGCAGAUGGAUGAGCCUGCGUUGGAUUAGCUAGUUGGUGAGGUAAGGGCCUACCAAGGCUACGAUCCAUAGCUGAUUUGAGAGGAUGAUCAGCCACAUUGGGACUGAGACACGGCCCAAACUCCUACGGGAGGCAGCAGUGAGGAAUAUUGGACAAUGGGGGCAACCCUGAUCCAGCAAUGCCAUGUGUGUGAAGAAGGCCUUAGGGUUGUAAAGCACUUUAGUUGGGGAAGAAAGCUUUGAGGUUAAUAGCCUUGAGGAAAAGGACGUUACCCAAAGAAUAAGCACCGGCUAACUCCGUGCCAGCAGCCGCGGUAAUACGGGGGGUGCAAGCGUUAAUCGGAAUUACUGGGCGUAAAGGGUCUGUAGGUGGUUUGUUAAGUCAGAUGUGAAAGCCUAGGGCUCAACCUUGGAACUGCAUUUGAUACUGGUAAACUAGAGUACGGUAGAGGAAUGGGGAAUUUCUGGUGUAGCGGUGAAAUGCGUAGAGAUCAGAAGGAACACCAAUGGCGAAGGCAACAUUCUGGACCGAUACUGACACUGAGGGACGAAAGCGUGGGGAUCAAACAGGAUUAGAUACCCUGGUAGUCCACGCUGUAAACGAUGAGUACUAGCUGUUGGAGUCGGUGUAAAGGCUCUAGUGGCGCAGCUAACGCGAUAAGUACUCCGCCUGGGGACUACGGCCGCAAGGCUAAAACUCAAAGGAAUUGACGGGGACCCGCACAAGCGGUGGAGCAUGUGGUUUAAUUCGAUGCAACGCGAAGAACCUUACCUGGUCUUGACAUCCUGCGAUCUUUCUAGAGAUAGAUUGGUGCCUUCGGGAACGCAGUGACAGGUGCUGCACGGCUGUCGUCAGCUCGUGUUGUGAAAUGUUGGGGUUAAGUCCCGCAACGAGCGC
Molecule: ribosomal RNA, 908 nt
Filed under: Francisella endosymbiont of Dermacentor variabilis
Lineage: Bacteria; Pseudomonadati; Pseudomonadota; Gammaproteobacteria; Thiotrichales; Francisellaceae
Description: bacterial SSU rRNA
Rfam family: Bacterial small subunit ribosomal RNA
Source: RNAcentral